RNAcentral lists this ribosomal RNA (489 nucleotides) under uncultured bacterium. RNAcentral's name for it is "partial 16S ribosomal RNA". It matches the Rfam family "Bacterial small subunit ribosomal RNA", at positions 28 to 507 of the family's 1533-position model. The record is from RNAcentral.
GAUGAACGCUAGCGGCAGGCUUAAUACAUGCAAGUCGAGGGGCAGCAGGACUGUAGCAAUACAGUUGCUGGCGACCGGCAAACGGGUGCGGAACACGUACGCAACCUACCCAAAACUGGGGGAUAGCCCGGGGAAACCCGGAUUAAUACCUCGUAACCUUUUUAAGUGGCAUCACUUGAUAAGUAUAGCUCCGGCGGUUUUGGAUGGGCGUGCGCCUGAUUGGGUAGUUGGUGCGGGUAACGGCCCACCAAGCCUGCGAUCAGUAACUGGUGUGAGAGCAGGACCAGUGACACGGGGACUGAGACAAGGGCCCGACUCCUACGGGAGGCAGCAGUAAGGAAUAUUGGUCAAUGGACGAAAGUCUGAACCAGCCAUGCCGCGUGAAGGAUGAAGGUCCUCUGGAUUGUAAACUUCUUUUAUGGGGGACGAAACCCGGAUAUUCUUAUCCGAUUGACGGUACCUCAGGAAUAAGCACCGGCUAACUCCGUG